This 443-nucleotide ribosomal RNA is filed under the name uncultured bacterium. RNAcentral describes it as "partial 16S ribosomal RNA". It matches the Rfam family "Bacterial small subunit ribosomal RNA", at positions 338 to 795 of the family's 1533-position model. The record is from RNAcentral.
CCUACGGGAGGCUGCAGUGGGGAAUAUUGGGCAAUGGGCGCAAGCCUGACCCAGCAACGCCGCGUGAAGGAAGAAGACUUUCUGGUUGUAAACUUCUUUUCUCAGGGACGAAGCAAGUGACGGUACCUGAGGAAUAAGCCACGGCUAACUACGUGCCAGCAGCCGCGGUAAUACGUAGGUGGCAAGCGUUAUCCGGAUUUACUGGGUGUAAGGGGCGUGUAGGCGGGAAAGCAAGUCAGAUGUGAAAACCAUGGGCUCAACCUGUGGCCUGCAUUUGAAACUGUUUUUCUUGAGUACUGGAGAGGCAGACGGAAUUCCUAGUGUAGCGGUGAAAUGCGUAGAUAUUAGGAGGAACACCAGUGGCGAAGGCGGUCUGCUGGACAGCAACUGACGCUGAGGCGCGAAAGCGUGGGGAGCAAACAGGAUUAGAUACCCGGGUAGUC